This 782-nucleotide ribosomal RNA is filed under the name uncultured bacterium. RNAcentral's name for it is "bacterial SSU rRNA". It matches the Rfam family "Bacterial small subunit ribosomal RNA", at positions 93 to 860 of the family's 1533-position model. The record is from RNAcentral.
GAGGGGCGAACGGGUGAGUAGCACGUGGGAAAUCUGCCUAGGAGUGGGGGAUAACAUUCGGAAACGAAUGCUAAUACCGCAUAUCUUUUUGAACCGCAUGGUUCUUAAACGAAAGACGGCUUCGGCUGUCGCUCUUAGAUGAUCCCGCGGCGUAUUAGUUAGUUGGUGGGGUAAAGGCCUACCAAGACCAUGAUACGUAGCCGACCUGAGAGGGUGAUCGGCCACACUGGGACUGAGACACGGCCCAGACUCCUACGGGAGGCAGCAGUAGGGAAUCUUCCACAAUGGGUGAAAACCUGAUGGAGCAAUGCCGCGUGAAUGAAGAAGGUCUUCGGAUCGUAAAGCUCUGUUGUUGGUGAAGAAGGAUAGAGGUAGUAACUGGCCUUUAUUUGACGGUAAUCAACCAGAAAGUCACGGCUAACUACGUGCCAGCAGCCGCGGUAAUACGUAGGUGGCAAGCGUUGUCCGGAUUUAUUGGGCGUAAAGCGAGCGCAGGCGGAAAAAUAAGUCUAAUGUGAAAGCCCUCGGCUUAACCGAGGAACUGCAUCGGAAACUGUUUUUCUUGAGUGCAGAAGAGGAGAGUGGAACUCCAUGUGUAGCGGUGGAAUGCGUAGAUAUAUGGAAGAACACCAGUGGCGAAGGCGGCUCUCUGGUCUGCAACUGACGCUGAGGCUCGAAAGCAUGGGUAGCGAACAGGAUUAGAUACCCUGGUAGUCCAUGCCGUAAACGAUGAGUGCUAAGUGUUGGGAGGUUUCCGCCUCUCAGUGCUGCAGCUAACGCAU